GGUGUUGUAUCCCAGUGGUUAAGGAGUUGGUCUAGAAAGCCGAUGAGCUUGUUCUCGCGCAGGUUCGAAUCCUGCCAACAUCG
RNAcentral lists this transfer RNA (83 nucleotides) under Ecytonucleospora hepatopenaei. Its description in RNAcentral is "Enterocytozoon sp. ST-2009a tRNA". It matches the Rfam family "tRNA". Rfam says of the family: Transfer RNA (tRNA) molecules are approximately 80 nucleotides in length. Their secondary structure includes four short double-helical elements and three loops (D, anti-codon, and T loops). Lineage: Eukaryota; Fungi; Microsporidia; Enterocytozoonidae. The record is from Rfam by way of RNAcentral.